UACGUAGGGUGCAAGCGUUAAUCGGAAUUACUGGGCGUAAAGCGUGCGCAGGCGGUUUUGUAAGUCUGUCGUGAAAGCUCCGGGCUCAACCUGGGAAUUGCGAUGGAGACUGCAAGGCUAGAAUCUGGCAGAGGGGGGUAGAAUUCCACGUGUAGCAGUGAAAUGCGUAGAGAUGUGGAGGAACACCGAUGGCGAAGGCAGCCCCCUGGGUCAAGAUUGACGCUCAUGCACGAAAGCGUGGGGAGCAAACAGG
This 253-nucleotide ribosomal RNA is filed under the name uncultured bacterium. RNAcentral describes it as "partial 16S ribosomal RNA". It matches the Rfam family "Bacterial small subunit ribosomal RNA", at positions 524 to 776 of the family's 1533-position model. The record is from RNAcentral.